GCCAUUUAAAGUGGUACGCGAGCUGGGUUUAGAACGUCGUGAGACAGUUCGGUCCCUAUCUGCCGUGGGCGCUGGAGAACUGAGGGGGGCUGCUCCUAGUACGAGAGGACCGGAGUGGACGCAUCACUGGUGUUCGGGUUGUCAUGCCAAUGGCACUGCCCGGUAGCUAAAUGCGGAAGAGAUAAGUGCUGAAAGCAUCUAAGCACGAAACUUGCCCCGAGAUGAGUUCUCCCUGACUCCUUGAGAGUCCUGAAGGAACGUUGAAGACGACGACGUUGAUAGGCCGGGUGUGUAAGCGCAGCGAUGCGUUGAGCUAACCGGUACUAAUGAACCGUGAGG
Molecule: ribosomal RNA, 339 nt
Filed under: Escherichia coli
Lineage: Bacteria; Pseudomonadati; Pseudomonadota; Gammaproteobacteria; Enterobacterales; Enterobacteriaceae
Description: partial 23S ribosomal RNA
Rfam family: Bacterial large subunit ribosomal RNA
Source: RNAcentral